Molecule: non-coding RNA, 179 nt
Organism: Podarcis lilfordi (Lilford's wall lizard)
Lineage: Eukaryota; Metazoa; Chordata; Lepidosauria; Squamata; Lacertidae
Source: the annotation of a GenBank genome assembly
GGACCUGAGGGCGAUCUGGCUGCGACAUCUGUCACCCCAUUGAUCGCCAGGGUUGAUUCGGCUGAUCUGGCUGGCUACGCGGGUGUCCCCUUCCUCUCUCAUCGCUCCAUGUGCGUCCCUCCCAAAGCUGCGCACUGGGUGGAAGAGGACGACCAUCCCAGUAGAAAAUAUUCACAGGU